CAGUCGCCACGGUAAAACGUAGGUGGUAAGCGUUGUCCGGAAUUAUUGGGCGUAAAGGGCUCGCAGGCGGUUUCUUAAGUCUGAUGUGAAAGCCCCCGGUUCAACCGGGGAGGGUCAUUGGAAACUGGGAAACUUGAGUGCAGAAGAGGAGAGUGGAAUUCCACGUGUAGCGGUGAAAUGCGUAGAGAUGUGGAGGAACACCAGUGGCGAAGGCGACUCUCUGGUCUGUAACUGACGCUGAGGAGCGAAAGCGUGGGGAGCGAACAGGAUUAGAUACCCCAGUAGUCCAUGUCUCUUAUAC
RNAcentral lists this ribosomal RNA (301 nucleotides) under uncultured bacterium. RNAcentral's name for it is "partial 16S ribosomal RNA". It matches the Rfam family "Bacterial small subunit ribosomal RNA", at positions 509 to 807 of the family's 1533-position model. The record is from RNAcentral.